UUUGCAAAGCUAUUUCCAUUUUAAUAAGCCAAAGUGCUGUUAAAUAGAGAUUGAUAUUUCUCCCCAAAUACCCAUAUUUUUAAAGAGGCUUACACCAACAAGGCCAGCCUGGCUUUGGUGUUUUGGUGCCGGAAAGUUGCUUAACUCAUACAUGGGGUGACUCAGCUCCAUCCCCCUUCUCCCUCCCCUCAGGAAGGAGCGAGGUUCGAGUGUUGAGACCAGCUCUGAAUAACAAUUCCUCUGGCUCUCCCACAGCUCUCGCUGGCAGCAACUUUGGCAGGGCAUGAUGCAGACGGUGAAUGCUAUCGACCCGCCGAGCCCAGCACAGCAUCACCCGUGAGCCCACGGCAACAGGGACAAACAAGCCCUGGAACCCACUGAGCAUCCUGUACCUGCACACGGGGCACGGUUCACGUGGUAGCACCCACUUGUUGCACCCCAUUCCCCAGCCAAACUUCAGAGGGAUGCUCAAGCAUCCCGGGAUGCCGCCCUGCUCGCGCCUGCCCCAGCGGCCAGUGGCCACCUCCACUUUCAUGCCCAAUGCCUGCCCUGUGCUCAGGAGGCCCAUGGCCUCUGGGAUGCCCGUGGGUGCCCAUGGAUGCUCAUGGGGUCCCGUGGGUGCUCGUGGGGCAGGGCAAGGGGUAGGAUAGGAAAAGAGAAGGAAUUACCAUGUUGAGUGGGAAGUGGCGGAGGGGCCGGGCACCAACCGUCCCCUCCCUGGUCUUCGCCGGGGCCGAGCGCUGCCCUCAGCCCGGUGUCCCCCGGCCCGGUGCUGCCGCUCGCCGCUCCCGCGGCGGCUCCUCCCGCGCUGCGGGCGGGGACGGGCAGCCCCGGUCCCCCCUCCCCGGCCCCCCCGGCCCGGGCCGGCUCCGGCGGGCGCCGCGCCCCUUCUGGGGGAAAAAAGAAGGGAAAAAAAGAAGGAAAAAGAAAGAAAAGGCGCAGAAAGCGCGAGCGCGGCGGGGCGGAGCGGGGGAGGGGCUGCCCCGGGCCGGCGGGAGCGGCGGGACCCGCCGAGCACAACCGAGGCGGCCGCUCCUCCCGGGAUUCCCC
RNAcentral lists this long non-coding RNA (1050 nucleotides) under Strigops habroptila (Kakapo). RNAcentral's name for it is "lncRNA (ENSSHBG00005005859.1)". Lineage: Eukaryota; Metazoa; Chordata; Aves; Psittaciformes; Psittacidae. The record is from RNAcentral.